RNAcentral lists this ribosomal RNA (405 nucleotides) under uncultured bacterium. RNAcentral's name for it is "bacterial SSU rRNA". It matches the Rfam family "Bacterial small subunit ribosomal RNA", at positions 355 to 775 of the family's 1533-position model. The record is from RNAcentral.
UGAGGAAUAUUGCACAAUGGGGGGAACCCUGAUGCAGCAACGCCGCGUGAGCGAUGAAGGCCUUCGGGUCGUAAAGCUCUUUUCUGUGGGAUGAGACAAGGACAGUACCACAGGAAUAAGUCUCGGCUAACUACGUGCCAGCAGCCGCGGUAAAACGUAGGAGGCGAGCGUUAUCCGGAUUCACUGGGCGUAAAGGGCAAGUAGGCGGUAGGCAAAGUUGGGCGUGACAAAUCUCGGCUUAACUGAGAGGGGUCGUUCAAAACUAGUCUACUGGAGGGCAGGAGGGGAAGGCGGAAUUCCGAGUGUAGCGGUGGAAUGCUCAGAUAUUCGGAAGAACACCAGUGGCGAAGGCGGCCUUCUGGCCUGCACCUGACGCUGAGAGGCGAAAGCUAGGGGAGCGAACGG